AUACCCCUAAUGCGCCUUGAAAUGAGGAACACAAAAGUCACGUGUAAACAAAAAAUCUCUGUGUAGUGAUAUUUGACACAUUGCUAUGAUAAACAAAUGACUGAGCUGAACCAUUAGUGUUAAUUUAGAAAAUAAGGGAACACAGAAUAAAUGUGUAAAAACCAUGGAGCUAUGAAAUGUGUUCAAAGUAUUAAAAUUUCAAAGAACUUAUUGUGUUAAAAUUGGGAUUUUUUACCAUGAGGAGCGACAUCGCAAAAGGAUACUCGGGGUUUGCUAAAUUACGGAAAAAUGAAUCACACUUCGUACCCCGAAAAUUUAACCACAUAUGUAAAAAUGUCUCAGCUUCGAAACAAGCCAUCAUACAUAUACAAGUUUACGAUAUGGGCUGAGCAACAGAAGAAAACGUUAUCAUUACGGCCUAUGGAAUAACAAUUGCGCAUAUUGACCCAUCUUGUAAGAGAGGAUCCAGAGAUAUCUUAAGCUAAUUUCACCUUGUACACCACAGAAAAUUGUUAAAAUGAUGUUCCAGACAUAUCAUUACUUUUAAAUAUGAGAUGACAAACUAAAGGUUUUAAAAGGUCCUGAAUAACUGAAAUGGACAAAUAUACACAGAUUUAUUCAGAAUGUCAUACCGAUGAAGAUCGCCUAAAAAUAUUUGGAAAAAUCAGAACUAUGGAUUUCAAUAUGGGACAAUACCCCUAAUGCGCCUUGAAAUGAGGAACACAAAAGUCACGUGUAAACAAAAAAUCUCUGUGUAGUGAUAUUUGACACAUUGCUAUGAUAAACAAAUGACUGAGCUGAACCAUUAGUGUUAAUUUAGAAAAUAAGGGAACACAGAAUAAAUGUGUAAAAACCAUGGAGCUAUGAAAUGUGUUCAAAGUAUUAAAAUUUCAAAGAACUUAUUGUGUUAAAAUUGGGAUUUUUUACCAUGAGGAGCGACAUCGCAAAAGGAUACUCGGGGUUUGCUAAAUUACGGAAAAAUGAAUCACACUUCGUACCCCGAAAAUUUAACCACAUAUGUAAAAAUGUCUCAGCUUCGAAACAAGCCAUCAUACAUAUACAAGUUUACGAUAUGGGCUGAGCAACAGAAGAAAACGUUAUCAUUACGGCCUAUGGAAUAACAAUUGCGCAUAUUGACCCAUCUUGUAAGAGAGGAUCCAGAGAUAUCUUAAGCUAAUUUCACCUUGUACACCACAGAAAAUUGUUAAAAUGAUGUUCCAGACAUAUCAUUACUUUUAAAUAUGAGAUGACAAACUAAAGGUUUUAAAAGGUCCUGAAUAACUGAAAUGGACAAAUAUACACAGAUUUAUUCAGAAUGUCAUACCGAUGAAGAUCGCCUAAAAAUAUUUGGAAAAAUCAGAACUAUGGAUUUCAAUAUGGGACAAUACCCCUAAUGCGCCUUGAAAUGAGGAACACAAAAGUCACGUGUAAACAAAAAAUCUCUGUGUAGUGAUAUUUGACACAUUGCUAUGAUAAACAAAUGACUGAGCUGAACCAUUAGUGUUAAUUUAGAAAAUAAGGGAACACAGAAUAAAUGUGUAAAAACCAUGGAGCUAUGAAAUGUGUUCAAAGUAUUAAAAUUUCAAAGAACUUAUUGUGUUAAAAUUGGGAUUUUUUACCAUGAGGAGCGACAUCGCAAAAGGAUACUCGGGGUUUGCUAAAUUACGGAAAAAUGAAUCACACUUCGUACCCCGAAAAUUUAACCACAUAUGUAAAAAUGUCUCAGCUUCGAAACAAGCCAUCAUACAUAUACAAGUUUACGAUAUGGGCUGAGCAACAGAAGAAAACGUUAUCAUUACGGCCUAUGGAAUAACAAUUGCGCAUAUUGACCCAUCUUGUAAGAGAGGAUCCAGAGAUAUCUUAAGCUAAUUUCACCUUGUACACCACAGAAAAUUGUUAAAAUGAUGUUCCAGACAUAUCAUUACUUUUAAAUAUGAGAUGACAAACUAAAGGUUUUAAAAGGUCCUGAAUAACUGAAAUGGACAAAUAUACACAGAUUUAUUCAGAAUGUCAUACCGAUGAAGAUCGCCUAAAAAUAUUUGGAAAAAUCAGAACUAUGGAUUUCAAUAUGGGACAAUACCCCUAAUGCGCCUUGAAAUGAGGAACACAAAAGUCACGUGUAAACAAAAAAUCUCUGUGUAGUGAUAUUUGACACAUUGCUAUGAUAAACAAAUGACUGAGCUGAACCAUUAGUGUUAAUUUAGAAAAUAAGGGAACACAGAAUAAAUGUGUAAAAACCAUGGAGCUAUGAAAUGUGUUCAAAGUAUUAAAAUUUCAAAGAACUUAUUGUGUUAAAAUUGGGAUUUUUUACCAUGAGGAGCGACAUCGCAAAAGGAUACUCGGGGUUUGCUAAAUUACGGAAAAAUGAAUCACACUUCGUACCCCGAAAAUUUAACCACAUAUGUAAAAAUGUCUCAGCUUCGAAACAAGCCAUCAUACAUAUACAAGUUUACGAUAUGGGCUGAGCAACAGAAGAAAACGUUAUCAUUACGGCCUAUGGAAUAACAAUUGCGCAUAUUGACCCAUCUUGUAAGAGAGGAUCCAGAGAUAUCUUAAGCUAAUUUCACCUUGUACACCACAGAAAAUUGUUAAAAUGAUGUUCCAGACAUAUCAUUACUUUUAAAUAUGAGAUGACAAACUAAAGGUUUUAAAAGGUCCUGAAUAACUGAAAUGGACAAAUAUACACAGAUUUAUUCAGAAUGUCAUACCGAUGAAGAUCGCCUAAAAAUAUUUGGAAAAAUCAGAACUAUGGAUUUCAAUAUGGGACAAUACCCCUAAUGCGCCUUGAAAUGAGGAACACAAAAGUCACGUGUAAACAAAAAAUCUCUGUGUAGUGAUAUUUGACACAUUGCUAUGAUAAACAAAUGACUGAGCUGAACCAUUAGUGUUAAUUUAGAAAAUAAGGGAACACAGAAUAAAUGUGUAAAAACCAUGGAGCUAUGAAAUGUGUUCAAAGUAUUAAAAUUUCAAAGAACUUAUUGUGUUAAAAUUGGGAUUUUUUACCAUGAGGAGCGACAUCGCAAAAGGAUACUCGGGGUUUGCUAAAUUACGGAAAAAUGAAUCACACUUCGUACCCCGAAAAUUUAACCACAUAUGUAAAAAUGUCUCAGCUUCGAAACAAGCCAUCAUACAUAUACAAGUUUACGAUAUGGGCUGAGCAACAGAAGAAAACGUUAUCAUUACGGCCUAUGGAAUAACAAUUGCGCAUAUUGACCCAUCUUGUAAGAGAGGAUCCAGAGAUAUCUUAAGCUAAUUUCACCUUGUACACCACAGAAAAUUGUUAAAAUGAUGUUCCAGACAUAUCAUUACUUUUAAAUAUGAGAUGACAAACUAAAGGUUUUAAAAGGUCCUGAAUAACUGAAAUGGACAAAUAUACACAGAUUUAUUCAGAAUGUCAUACCGAUGAAGAUCGCCUAAAAAUAUUUGGAAAAAUCAGAACUAUGGAUUUCAAUAUGGGACAAUACCCCUAAUGCGCCUUGAAAUGAGGAACACAAAAGUCACGUGUAAACAAAAAAUCUCUGUGUAGUGAUAUUUGACACAUUGCUAUGAUAAACAAAUGACUGAGCUGAACCAUUAGUGUUAAUUUAGAAAAUAAGGGAACACAGAAUAAAUGUGUAAAAACCAUGGAGCUAUGAAAUGUGUUCAAAGUAUUAAAAUUUCAAAGAACUUAUUGUGUUAAAAUUGGGAUUUUUUACCAUGAGGAGCGACAUCGCAAAAGGAUACUCGGGGUUUGCUAAAUUACGGAAAAAUGAAUCACACUUCGUACCCCGAAAAUUUAACCACAUAUGUAAAAAUGUCUCAGCUUCGAAACAAGCCAUCAUACAUAUACAAGUUUACGAUAUGGGCUGAGCAACAGAAGAAAACGUUAUCAUUACGGCCUAUGGAAUAACAAUUGCGCAUAUUGACCCAUCUUGUAAGAGAGGAUCCAGAGAUAUCUUAAGCUAAUUUCACCUUGUACACCACAGAAAAUUGUUAAAAUGAUGUUCCAGACAUAUCAUUACUUUUAAAUAUGAGAUGACAAACUAAAGGUUUUAAAAGGUCCUGAAUAACUGAAAUGGACAAAUAUACACAGAUUUAUUCAGAAUGUCAUACCGAUGAAGAUCGCCUAAAAAUAUUUGGAAAAAUCAGAACUAUGGAUUUCAAUAUGGGACAAUACCCCUAAUGCGCCUUGAAAUGAGGAACACAAAAGUCACGUGUAAACAAAAAAUCUCUGUGUAGUGAUAUUUGACACAUUGCUAUGAUAAACAAAUGACUGAGCUGAACCAUUAGUGUUAAUUUAGAAAAUAAGGGAACACAGAAUAAAUGUGUAAAAACCAUGGAGCUAUGAAAUGUGUUCAAAGUAUUAAAAUUUCAAAGAACUUAUUGUGUUAAAAUUGGGAUUUUUUACCAUGAGGAGCGACAUCGCAAAAGGAUACUCGGGGUUUGCUAAAUUACGGAAAAAUGAAUCACACUUCGUACCCCGAAAAUUUAACCACAUAUGUAAAAAUGUCUCAGCUUCGAAACAAGCCAUCAUACAUAUACAAGUUUACGAUAUGGGCUGAGCAACAGAAGAAAACGUUAUCAUUACGGCCUAUGGAAUAACAAUUGCGCAUAUUGACCCAUCUUGUAAGAGAGGAUCCAGAGAUAUCUUAAGCUAAUUUCACCUUGUACACCACAGAAAAUUGUUAAAAUGAUGUUCCAGACAUAUCAUUACUUUUAAAUAUGAGAUGACAAACUAAAGGUUUUAAAAGGUCCUGAAUAACUGAAAUGGACAAAUAUACACAGAUUUAUUCAGAAUGUCAUACCGAUGAAGAUCGCCUAAAAAUAUUUGGAAAAAUCAGAACUAUGGAUUUCAAUAUGGGACAAUACCCCUAAUGCGCCUUGAAAUGAGGAACACAAAAGUCACGUGUAAACAAAAAAUCUCUGUGUAGUGAUAUUUGACACAUUGCUAUGAUAAACAAAUGACUGAGCUGAACCAUUAGUGUUAAUUUAGAAAAUAAGGGAACACAGAAUAAAUGUGUAAAAACCAUGGAGCUAUGAAAUGUGUUCAAAGUAUUAAAAUUUCAAAGAACUUAUUGUGUUAAAAUUGGGAUUUUUUACCAUGAGGAGCGACAUCGCAAAAGGAUACUCGGGGUUUGCUAAAUUACGGAAAAAUGAAUCACACUUCGUACCCCGAAAAUUUAACCACAUAUGUAAAAAUGUCUCAGCUUCGAAACAAGCCAUCAUACAUAUACAAGUUUACGAUAUGGGCUGAGCAACAGAAGAAAACGUUAUCAUUACGGCCUAUGGAAUAACAAUUGCGCAUAUUGACCCAUCUUGUAAGAGAGGAUCCAGAGAUAUCUUAAGCUAAUUUCACCUUGUACACCACAGAAAAUUGUUAAAAUGAUGUUCCAGACAUAUCAUUACUUUUAAAUAUGAGAUGACAAACUAAAGGUUUUAAAAGGUCCUGAAUAACUGAAAUGGACAAAUAUACACAGAUUUAUUCAGAAUGUCAUACCGAUGAAGAUCGCCUAAAAAUAUUUGGAAAAAUCAGAACUAUGGAUUUCAAUAUGGGACAAUACCCCUAAUGCGCCUUGAAAUGAGGAACACAAAAGUCACGUGUAAACAAAAAAUCUCUGUGUAGUGAUAUUUGACACAUUGCUAUGAUAAACAAAUGACUGAGCUGAACCAUUAGUGUUAAUUUAGAAAAUAAGGGAACACAGAAUAAAUGUGUAAAAACCAUGGAGCUAUGAAAUGUGUUCAAAGUAUUAAAAUUUCAAAGAACUUAUUGUGUUAAAAUUGGGAUUUUUUACCAUGAGGAGCGACAUCGCAAAAGGAUACUCGGGGUUUGCUAAAUUACGGAAAAAUGAAUCACACUUCGUACCCCGAAAAUUUAACCACAUAUGUAAAAAUGUCUCAGCUUCGAAACAAGCCAUCAUACAUAUACAAGUUUACGAUAUGGGCUGAGCAACAGAAGAAAACGUUAUCAUUACGGCCUAUGGAAUAACAAUUGCGCAUAUUGACCCAUCUUGUAAGAGAGGAUCCAGAGAUAUCUUAAGCUAAUUUCACCUUGUACACCACAGAAAAUUGUUAAAAUGAUGUUCCAGACAUAUCAUUACUUUUAAAUAUGAGAUGACAAACUAAAGGUUUUAAAAGGUCCUGAAUAACUGAAAUGGACAAAUAUACACAGAUUUAUUCAGAAUGUCAUACCGAUGAAGAUCGCCUAAAAAUAUUUGGAAAAAUCAGAACUAUGGAUUUCAAUAUGGGACAAUACCCCUAAUGCGCCUUGAAAUGAGGAACACAAAAGUCACGUGUAAACAAAAAAUCUCUGUGUAGUGAUAUUUGACACAUUGCUAUGAUAAACAAAUGACUGAGCUGAACCAUUAGUGUUAAUUUAGAAAAUAAAGGAACACAGAAUAAAUGUGUAAAAACCAUGGAGCUAUGAAAUGUGUUCAAAGUAUUAAAAUUUCAAAGAACUUAUUGUGUUAAAAUUGGGAUUUUUUACCAUGAGGAGCGACAUCGCAAAAGGAUACUCGGGGUUUGCUAAAUUACGGAAAAAUGAAUCACACUUCGUACCCCGAAAAUUUAACCACAUAUGUAAAAAUGUCUCAGCUUCGAAACAAGCCAUCAUACAUAUACAAGUUUACGAUAUGGGCUGAGCAACAGAAGAAAACGUUAUCAUUACGGCCUAUGGAAUAACAAUUGCGCAUAUUGACCCAUCUUGUAAGAGAGGAUCCAGAGAUAUCUUAAGCUAAUUUCACCUUGUACACCACAGAAAAUUGUUAAA
Mytilus trossulus (common blue mussel) is the source of this 6745-nucleotide long non-coding RNA. RefSeq lists it as uncharacterized. The record is from RefSeq and is a predicted model, not a curated record. The transcript has 19 exons. NCBI's taxonomy places the organism in Eukaryota, Metazoa, Mollusca, Bivalvia, Mytilida, Mytilidae.